Molecule: transfer RNA, 83 nt
Filed under: Clostridia bacterium
Lineage: Bacteria; Bacillati; Bacillota; Clostridia
Description: tRNA-Leu
Rfam family: tRNA
About the family: Transfer RNA (tRNA) molecules are approximately 80 nucleotides in length. Their secondary structure includes four short double-helical elements and three loops (D, anti-codon, and T loops). Further hydrogen bonds mediate the characteristic L-shaped molecular structure. tRNAs have two regions of fundamental functional importance: the anti-codon, which is responsible for specific mRNA codon recognition, and the 3' end, to which the tRNAs corresponding amino acid is attached (by aminoacyl-tRNA synthetases). tRNAs cope with the degeneracy of the genetic code in two manners: having more than one tRNA (with a specific anti-codon) for a particular amino acid; and 'wobble' base-pairing, i.e. permitting non-standard base-pairing at the 3rd anti-codon position.
Source: RNAcentral
GCCUGAGUGGCGGAACUGGCAGACGCACACGACUCAAAAUCGUGCGGGAAACCAUGUGGGUUCGAGUCCCACCUUAGGCACCA